AUAUUAAUAAAAUAAUUAUUUAAUUAUAUAAUUAAAAAUAUAAUAUUUAGUUAUUUUAAGAUUUAUUUAGUAUAAUAAAAAUAGUGUACAAAGAACUUUUCAAAAAUUUAUGAAAAUGUUUAGGCCCGCAUCGCGGACAAAACACCUAGUUCAUCUAUAUUUAAGAUGUUUAAUUAAACAUAUAUUAGAUUAGGUAAUUCUAGGACUGGUUUCUUUUUAAAAACUUUAGUUAAAUAAAUCAAAAGAUAAAAACAAUCAAUCAAUCAAAUUAUAAAGAUUAAUUGGAAAGCUCUUCUAUGCAUCAACAAAAAUCAUUUAAAUGACUUCUCAAUUAAUAUAUAAGAAGAUUUUGUUUUUUUUUAAUUUAAAAAUAUUAAAAACCCUACCUAAGCAACCGCGUUAAUCAUCUUUUAGAGAGUGUUGGAACGAACUAGUUGUCGAACAAAAACAGUAUUAUUUAGCAAAAAUGUUUUUUUUGGGCUUGGUGAUGGACUAAAGCUCAACCUAAUUAUCUUAAGUUGGAUCAUCCUCAAAUUAAUCUUUUUUCGCUGACAUACGACAAAUAUUUUGCUAAUACUGUUUUCUUCACUAAUUACAACUUACAACAGUAUAUGAAAGAAGAAGACAAAAACAUGGAAUAGAAUUAGUCACGAACAAAACAACGUGGCCAUUAUAUUUUCUUUACCUUUAUACUUGUUGUGGAACAUGAAUGUAUUUUAGGUGUUUAAUUAACAAAAAGACUGUCCUCUCAUCCUCUGGUUAGGUCGCCCUUUCAAAUACUUUCUUGUUAAAAAAAAAACUUGUUUUAUUUCUGAAUUUUUAAAAGAAAAUGCUUACUUAACGAGAUAUCUAAUUUGUAAUCCACACUUUAUUGUUUUUCUCCAAUACUUAAACGAAAAGGAGACCAGGUUCAACGAACCUGUAACUUUUAAGUCUACAUAACCUUUGGAAAAAUUAUCAUUUAUAUAAUAAACUUUCAAAUUUGGUUGAAAAAAAGCAUGAACUUUUUCUUGGACUAUUUAAAAUAUCAACUUAGUUUGAAUAACAAUUUUAAACUUCAAUUUAGUUUGACUAAACCAAAUUAAACACGACGUUAACUCGGGUAACGGAUUGAUUAGACGAGAUUAACUGCCGUCUCUAAUCUCCGUUAAGUCCAAACGACGUCGUUUUAAACUUUUUUUAAAAAUUGCAUAUGGAUCAUUUAAAACACCAACUUAGUUUUUUUUUUUACGUUGGAUUCAAUAUCAAUGGUGUAAAGAGUAGUAAUACAAUGUCCCCCCAAAAGCAACACACACCUCCAAACAGAGGAUUGAGAAGAAAACAAAAGGAAAGAAAGUAAGAAGAAGAAAAACACCAGUAAGUGCUGUAAAUAAUAACCGAAGACACGAUCAGGUUACGGAACAAGGGUCCACCGCAGCUAAGUUCCAACGAUUCUACACACGAACCACCGAAUUCAACUCCUCCUCUCGUAAUAGGGAGCUCAGCCAUGUAGGACCACCAGUAGCUACGUAAGAUUGGUAGCGAUGAUCCCUGGUCACACUUAGUGCAAUAGAAUUGGCAAUCCUGUUUCUGCCAGCAACUACAUGUUCCUCUACUUAGUUUGACUAACCAAAUUAAACACGACGUUAACUCGGGUAACAAAUUGAUUAAACGGGGUUAAUCGCAGUCUCUAAUCUUCAUUAAAUCCAAACGACGUCGUUUUAAUUUUUUAAAAAAAAAUUGAAAGGAAUCAUACCUGUGACCAAACAAUAACUAAUAGAUAUUAUUAUGAAACCUCCAAAUCAUUUUCUCACACCCUAAAUCCGUAAAUUAUUUUAUAAAUAUUAAAACUUGUGAAUAACUUAAUAGUUAAAAAAUUUGGUGAGUAUUAUUAAAAAUAUUAAACUUAUAAAUAACUUAAUAAUUAUAAUACUUCACUAAAAAUAUUAAAACUUGAAAUAAUUAUUAAAACUUAUAAUAAUUAAAACUUAUAAAAAAAUAAAACUUAUAAUAUUUAUUAAGUUAUUUAUAAGUAUCAUUAAAAAAUAUUAAAUAAAGAAUUUUUUAAUUAUUAAGUUAUUUAUAGGUUUUAAUAUUUUUAAAAGUACUCAUGAAAUUUUUUAAUUAUCAAGUUAUUUACAAGUUUUACUGUUGGUAUUUUAAAUGGUCCAGAUGCAAUUAAAAAAAAUUAAAGCGACGUCGUUUGGACUUAAAGGAGAUUAGAGAAGACGAUUAACCCCGUCUAAUUAAUCCAUUAUCCGAGUUAAUGUCGUAUUUAAUUUGGUUUAGUCAAACUAAAUUGAGGUUUAUAGUGAUUAUUCAAAUUAAGUUGGUGCUUUAAAUGGUCCUAAUGAAAGUUCAUGUUUUUUUCAACCAAAUUUGAAAGUUCGUGAUUUAAAUGAUAAUUUUCCCUUUUUCCCUUUUUUUUGGUAUGGGCUAUCGCCAUGAUUUUCCAACGUAAGCAUGCUUAAAAAGACGAAAUGUAAUUAUAAAUAUAGUCCUAUUCCAUAUUCGAAAAAAACUAAUUAAAAAGAAAGUAGUACUUAGCUUUCCAUCUACUUUCUUGCAAUUAAAAAAUAAGUUGGUGAAACCUAUUUUUAUACUUUUGAAUCGUAUAUGAUAUAUCGUAUCACCAUAUAAUGCAUAUGGUUUGAGCAGAGAGCUAAAGAGAGAGAGAGAGAGAUGAUCCCCAUGCCUUCUCCAGAGACUCAUGAUCACUUCAUUCUCGAUCGAUCAAAGGUUGAAGAAGAAGUGAAGCAUAGAUCAACAGCAUAUACAUGAUGGCAAAUGAUAUGUUUAAAAUCAGAAAAUUUUCAAUCUGGAUUUACUAGUUGAUGGUAUUGGGUUUGAGUUUGAUCGAAUAUAGAUGGACAUCUCUUUUCUUAAGGUUGCUUUGAAGAAAAGGAUGGGAGAUGCCCAUGCCUUGAGUCUUGAGGCAAGUAAACGAUCACCAGUUCCCCCUUUCAAAACUUCAAUCUCUUUGUUAAACACGAGUACUAUUACAUAACCCAUCUUUUGAUUUUUAUACAAAAGCUCACGUUUUUCUUUCAUCGUUUACGUAUGAAUUGAAGUUAUGCAGUUCAAUUCGAUUGUUUUAUGAAAUGUAACUUCUCAUUCAAUAUUUGAUGUAGUGUAUAGGGAAUCCCAAAAAGAUAAAAAGAAAACCAUAUAAAAGAAAAAAUAUAUCGUUUGCAUGUUAAAAGGAAUUAUCGUCGAUACAUUUAAAAUUGUUCAGAUCAACUGUAGAAUUAAUAUAUGUGAUAAAUCUAUGUUUAUGUUUCUAUGUAUCAGCUGCAAAUUAUAACGUUUAGGAUAGUUUAAUCAAUAGUAAGUAAAUUUUGAAGCUAUGAAAUAUAUAAGGUGUAUACUUGCAUACCAAGCCUGAAUAGAAGCCCAUAAAGCAUAUGCUUUGGGGCAGGCGAGAUAAUCUAUACAAUACUAAAAGUUGAAUAAGCUCAACACCUAAGGUGUCCACAUCAGAUUAAAUAAUCCACCAAUCACAGACAAUAUUUUCGCCACGUCAUUUAAGCCCAUGUCGAGAUUUAAUGUUGGGUUUCUUAGCCUAAACCCUAAAUUAUUUUGUCAUGGCCCAAAAUAAAGUCCACCACCCGUGGCUUCUUCGAUCAUAUUUUCCUCCGCCAGUUUCUCAGUUCGUCUUUUCCAAUUCGAGUUCAUUCAUGAAGCCUCCGUUACUGUGAUCCACUUAUAAUCAAUCAAUUGUCUUCUUUACUUCCGUAUUUAUUUAUGCGUUUCACCUCGCUAUCUAUCUACUUCUAUAUAAACCGGUUCCUCGAAGCUUGCUGCCAUUCGAUUGAGCAAAGAGAUUCAGGUUUCGUUCUUUGGAAAAUUUUGAUGCUGAUUGCAAUAACAGAGGUGUGUUUUCUGCAAAAUAUUUACCGGGAAGUUUUUGUUGCAAUUUUCCAUUUCAUUUUACCUCGCGUAUUACGAAGUCGAUAAUCGGUUUUUGAGUUCAUGUCGUUAUAUGUUUUUCAUUAGAUAUUUAUGUUUGGGCACAAAACUGAUUUUUCAGAAAUCUGUGAUGGUGCUAAGUGGCUCACGGGGAUUCUGUUACACAUUGGAAUUGAAAAAUGAGCAAGAAGCAAAACAAAUGAAGAAGAAGAAGAUUAGAACUCACUUUCAUGCUAUUUUGUUAACUGGCGGUUGUUGAGUAAUGACUGGAAACCGUUUCAUGGAUAGAGGCGUGAGCAAGGAGUUGAAAACCCAAUAGCUUCUGCAACUCUAGCUGGUGAUUUAGGAAUUGGGGCUGAACAGCUUCUGCUGAUGUGAAAAGAUCACACCUUGCUUCUCUGCAGUAAUGUAGAAGGUAAGUUCUCUGGUCUCUUUGUUGGCUUUUCUGUAUUUUAUCAUUUUGGUCUGCACUAUUGUUUUUGUUUGUGGAAGAUUCAGGGUAAAUGAUGAUGAUUUGCUGAAGAUCAAGAACACUUAUCGUCCUAUCCUCUCAAGAAAGAGAAAGGGUUUAUGCUAUGGCGUUCCAAAUCUUAGUCAAUCACUCAAUCUCCCGUAGUAGCCAUCAAAGGCAAGAUAGAAAUAGCUUUGGGUUAGGUCGCAAAACUCAAAGAAAAAAAAGAAACAAAGCUGGAGAAACUUAAAACGCUUUCACUGGGAGAUUGGAAGAGCAUAUGUCCACGAAUAACUGCUUAGGCAAUUGUAAAAAUAUUUAGAGUAAUACAAAUCACAUUUGUAUUUCCUACAAGAAGAUUAGUUAAGUCUAUCAUGCGGUCACUUCCUCAUUUGUUGUUAUCUUGAUUUUCUUUAUGAUAAAACCAUAGCUAGCUCUUUUAUUUUUCUUUUAAUUUACUUAAUAUUUGGUUUGAUUGUAAACUUUUCUAUUGACACAGACUAAAAGAAAGACAGUUAAUUAAAAUAGAAGCAUUUUAUCUAAACAAAGCAGAAAUGACAAAGCCAAGUUUUAAUUUAUUUAUUUCACAAUUAUCAUUCCUCUUCUUGAAAAUAUCUAAAAUAAUAUACCUCGAAAAUCACAUGUGUCGUAAUGUCACUUCUUAUCGUAUCUAAAUUAAUCUUAACUUGUGUGAACAUCAACUUCAACCCAUCAAACUAUAUUAAACAAAAAUCAUUAUAUUAAAAAGAGACCUGACAACGCGUACACAAAUCAUAAGACUGGGAUAAGCCAAAGAGCAUUAAACAAACCAUAUCAAAUACAUAAUGUAAUUGGUUAUCAAUUAGAGUAAAAUGGUGGGAAAAUAUGGUGAAAACGAGAGGGAUAGAAAAAUAAUAAAAUUAGAAUAAUUUUUUUUCAUCUUAUUAGUAGUCGAGGUAAGAUUUACUCUAUUUUACUGUUUUUGUUUCUCAUUUUUUAGAGUAAAUGAAAUAGAAUCAUAUUCCACUUGAUUGGAUGAAAGAAGAAUAAAUGGGCUGAAAUAAUUUUUCAUCCGCUUUAAUUUACUCUAACUUUACCAUAUAGUCAUACGAUAUAUACCGACUAAAAGAAAGAGAACAUCAAAAUAAAAAGGAUUCUUUUUUUGCCAGCAAACAAAACAAACUCAUGUAGACUCUGCGAACCACCCCGGUAGCUCUACAUCUAUAUGAACGACAAAUGACAGUUGCUUCCUUGCAUUGCGUGCGAGACUGUCCGCCUUUGAAUUCUGUGUUUGUGGUAUAUGAAUGAUCUCUGAACUGUUGAAACUCCUAUUCAAAACUUUUAUGUCUUCCAAAUAGCUUGCAAAGGUUGGCCACUCUUCUGGUUCCGAAACCAUCUUCACCAAUUGAGCACAAUCCGUUGCAAAAGCAAUCCAGAAAAAAUUAAAAAAUUAACUUACAUCGAAAAAUAUUAGUGUGGAGAACGAAAAUCAUAAAAGCCCUUUUUCAAAAAAAAAAAAGAGUGAGAAGCAAAUAUUGUCUCUAUACCUUCAGGGCCGGCUGAGUAGGGAGACAAACAGUGCGACCGUCUCGGGUCCAAGUAUGUGGCCCCCGUAUAUUAAUAGUUAAGGAGCCUAUUUUUUUUAUAUAUCUAUAUUUUUAGACAAAAGAUUAGAAAAUAUAACAAAGUAAAUUGAAAACGGCCCAAAAAUAUAUUUUUAAAGUAUAUAGUUUUAUUUUCAUCGGAAAAUAUAUACAGUAUGAUUAAAAUUUUAAAAUAUUUUAAACAUUAAAUAAAUAUAAAUAUCAAAGGGUACAAAAAAAUAUUUUCGCCCUAUGACCAUUGUAACUAACACGAAGAAAUCGAGAAAGAUAAAUUUAUGGAGAUGACAAAAAUAUAUAAAUUUAUGAAAUCUCACAAUCCAUGGUACAUCUGAACCAUAGGAAUUAAGACUAACGAUGCAUUCAUAUGUCAAAGUUACGGGAACAACAACAAUACUCUCAAUCAAGGAAUGUUCCUAAGACGCCUCCCUAUAUUUUGGUUGAAAAUUACAAUCAAUUGCUACAUUUCCCACUACAAGUGCAUACCUACUAAGUAACUUCUCAAAUUUAUUUUUAAGGGAAAAACGUAAAUUGAAAUAAAUUAUUUUUAAAACAAAUGGGGUAAAUACACAUUAUACAAAGAAUCUAUCUCCAAAAUUAAUAAACGAAAAUAAAAAUUGCAAUAAGCUUACUUAUAAACACGCAUAUACUAAAACUACAAUUAUACCGACAAAAUAGUCACCUAGAAUGGAGCUUUCAUAUUAAGAAGUUAUUGCAUGUCAAGAUUUAUACCUCUCUCUGUAUGGGAUUAAGAAGCGGCUAAUUUCAAACGGUUAAUAAAAAUUAAAGAACGAAAGUUUCGAAGUUGACGUAUUCACUCGGCUAAUCUGAUUGGAGUGUGUAUAAGAUAUUAAGAUAACAAACAAUCAUAUUGUCGACAAACAUUAAUAUAAAAACAUAUAUUUUAUUCAUACUGAGUUUGAGAGAAACAUUAAUACCCACCCCAAUAGCAACAACACAAAUUAAUUCUGCAUGGGAAUGUUAGAAGUUUGAGAGAAAAAAUACUUGAUAAAAUAAAAUACAAAUAAUAAAUACCCACAUACAUUAAAGAAAACACAAACUCCAAACAAUCAUUAUUUUUCCUUUAUUAUUUUAUUCAUACUGAGUUUUUGGAUUACUAAUAUGUAACAACACUAUUAAAAAAAAGAUGUAUGUACAUAUUAUCUAAAAAAUCCUUAUUUUACAACUUAAAAAUAAUGAUAGAAAUAAAAAUUCACAAUGGGUUGAAAACUAAGAAAUAAAAACAACCUCAUAAAUAAAGAAGAUGUCAAAACAAGACAAAUACUCCCUCUGUUCCUGUUUUACAGAAUUUUGAUGUUCCAAUAUAUAAGAUGUUUUUAUUUUUUUAGGUAACUUUUACUUUAUUAAAAACUGUGUACUCAAUCAUAUUUUAAUGACAUUUUUUAGAUAAAAAAUAGUUUUUUAAUAUCUGUGUUUCUACCUAAACAUCUUAUAUUUAGUAACAGAAAAAUUAAAAGUUAAUAUAAAUUUUAAAAAAUAUUUAUAACACACAAUCCGUGCGUAGCGCGGAAAAAUGAUCUAGUAACAAUAAGAGGCCAAAAAUAACUUGAAAUAUUGUGUAGUUUUACUAGUAACAUUGUUUGUUGGUAGAUGUACAGACCCGGAUUCAAACUUCCCUCCUACUUGAAUAAGGUUUCCAUUAUUUUUAAAAGUAAAAAGGGCCAAAAAAAAAUUUUUGGCUUGUCGGCCCAGAUUUAUCAGGCACAGCCCUGUAUACUCGGUUUAGAGAUAAGAUACAUAUUAUGUUUUAUUAUUCUGAAGCCGUUGAUGUUUCAUAUCACAAAUCAUUCGAUAUCAAUAUGUCUAUGUUCACAAGGUUUACCCUUGUACACAUUCUUAUAGAACAUUCAUGAAAAACUUUAGAUUCGUAGAUGAAAUCGCUAACCCGAUGACCUCACUGAUAUCAAGAAAUCAAAUCGAGGAGCUAAUCCAAGAUGUGGUAAUGUCAAAACAACAUUUUCUCAUAAUGAGUUAAUUUGUCAUUGUGUUGCUUGUUGUCAUCAUGCUUCAACCACUUGUAUCAUUUUUCUAAAAGCUGACUUUUGAAACUUGUCUAAUCCUUAAUAUAAACGCUAGAGAAAAAAACUCAAAAGUCACUUCCAAUGAUCAAAAAUCAAAGUGUGAAACCUUUUUCUGUUGACGGACAUUUCAAAGGUACGUAGAAACAAAUUAAAUUGAUUUUAGGUGAUUUUUUUUUCUCGGUGAUAUUAAACCAAACUGAAAGGAAUACAAGGUCGAUACGUUAUUAGGACACCAAAACCAGCUUUGAAACAGAUGAAACUGGAGACAUAAGCUCCCAUAGGAGAAACUACAGCCCAACAAAUAGGAAACUUUCACUAAAGGCUAACAUUGAACCAAAGGAUUGAAAUGAUUAGGAAAGGCGAGAGCAGAGAGAAACGAGAUGCUAACGCAUACCUUUUAGGUGAUAUUCUAGAAUGGGUUUAACAAAAAUCACUUUAAACUUUGUAACUCAUAUAAAAUUAUAUAACACUCAUUAAAAAUAAAAUUAUUUUAAAACUAAUUAAAAAUCAAAUCACUUCAAACUUUAAAUUGAAUAUGGGAAUUCGGCCAAAAAAAACCUCAACUUUACACGAAUUGCCAAAACAAACCUGAACUUUGGGGCUGGCCAAAAAAAUACCAAACUUUCAUUGACUUUAGAAUUAAUUAACAAUGUUUUCGCUGACUUGCCAAUUUAGCACGCCGUCAACAAAUUUAACAGAAAUAUUUGACGUCGUUUAUUGUUGACGCUAAGUGAAACGACGUCGUUUUCAAAUGAGAUGAAACGACGUCGUUUUACACGAUUUGAAAUUAAAAAUAUGUAAACACCUGGAUUUGAACCCAGGCUGGUUGGUCAAAUGGGAAGAUAUUUUACCACUGGGCUACUGGCACUUUCAAUGUAUUUACUAACAUGUUAACUUUUAUUUGGUACAUAUUGAAUAUAAAAAAUUCUUUAAAAACUUAAUAAGAUCUUUAAAAUUCCAAAAAAUUAAAAAAUAAAGAAGAUUUUUAUAAAAUUAA
Long non-coding RNA from Brassica rapa (field mustard), 8958 nucleotides. RefSeq lists it as uncharacterized. NCBI's taxonomy places the organism in Eukaryota, Viridiplantae, Streptophyta, Magnoliopsida, Brassicales, Brassicaceae. The record is from RefSeq and is a predicted model, not a curated record.